Dicentrarchus labrax (European seabass) is the source of this 404-nucleotide long non-coding RNA. RefSeq lists it as uncharacterized. NCBI's taxonomy places the organism in Eukaryota, Metazoa, Chordata, Actinopteri, Moronidae. The record is from RefSeq and is a predicted model, not a curated record. The transcript has 2 exons.
CAAGGGCACGAGGUCUGAUGGAGAACUGUCCUCCCAGUUAGUGAAUCGCACAGGUUCAUCUUCAAACCACUUCAUUUCUUCACCUGACAAGAUACUCCAAUCAGUAAUCCACUAUCCCAGAAACAGAUGUCCUAGUCUGAGAGAGCCGUCCCCUCCAGGGAUUUGUCUUCUCCUCUACUAUCCCACACUGAUUACCCCCACCCCCAGACCCCCCUCACGAGGAAUCACAAGCUGAGAGGAAGCUGAUGGAAUCCGAAGCAUGAAGUGGUGACAGGAUUGAGCAACCCGAGUCUGGACUCCAGCCUAGAGGAUCUUCUGUUGUGACCGACUGGUCGACUGCCUCACACCAGUUUGACCUACUGUUUUCCAACUCAUUGGUGGAAUAAAUGCUCUACCUUCUGUCA